AACCCAAGGCGGAUUAGAGUGGGCCAAAUAGAGU
This 34-nucleotide transfer RNA is filed under the name Amolops afghanus. RNAcentral describes it as "partial tRNA-Arg". Lineage: Eukaryota; Metazoa; Chordata; Amphibia; Anura; Ranidae. The record is from RNAcentral.